ACCUGGCUGGUUCAGUUGGUAGAGCAUGCGACUCUUGAUCUCAGGGCUGUGAGUUCGAGCCUCAUGUCAGGUG
Mustela putorius furo (domestic ferret) is the source of this 73-nucleotide non-coding RNA. NCBI's taxonomy places the organism in Eukaryota, Metazoa, Chordata, Mammalia, Carnivora, Mustelidae. The record is from Rfam.